UUUCUACUCCCUCCGUGUGAAAAUACUUGUCAUCAAAAUGGAUAAAAAGAGAUGUAUCUAAAACUAAAAUACUUCUAGAUACAUUUCCUUUUAUCCAUUUUGAUGACAAGUAUUUCCGGACGGAGGGAGUAUUUU
Non-coding RNA from Triticum aestivum (bread wheat), 135 nucleotides. The record is from Rfam. NCBI's taxonomy places the organism in Eukaryota, Viridiplantae, Streptophyta, Magnoliopsida, Poales, Poaceae.